GAGCGCAACCCUUGUCCUUAGUUACCAGCACGUUAUGGUGGGCACUCUAAGGAGACUGACCGGUGACAAACCGGAGGAAGGUGGGGAUGACGUCAAGUCAUCAUGGCCCUUACGGCCUGGGCUACACACGUGCUACAAUGGUCGGUACAAAGGGUUGCCAAGCCGCGAGGUGGAGCUAAUCCCAUAAAACCGAUCGUAGUCCGGAUCGCAGUCUGCAACUCGACUGCGUGAAGUCGGAAUCGCUAGUAAUCGUGAAUCAGAAUGUCACGGUGAAUACGUUCCCGGGCCUU
RNAcentral lists this ribosomal RNA (290 nucleotides) under uncultured Pseudomonas sp. Its description in RNAcentral is "partial 16S ribosomal RNA". It matches the Rfam family "Bacterial small subunit ribosomal RNA", at positions 1094 to 1382 of the family's 1533-position model. Lineage: Bacteria; Pseudomonadati; Pseudomonadota; Gammaproteobacteria; Pseudomonadales; Pseudomonadaceae. The record is from RNAcentral.